GAAGCUGACCAGACAGUCGCCGCUUCGUCGUCGUCCUCCUUCGGGGGAGACGGGCGGAGGGGAGGAAAGUCCGGGCUCCAUAGGGCAAGGUGCCAGGUAACGCCUGGGGGGUGUCACAGCCCACGACCAGUGCAACAGAGAGCAAACCGCCGAUGGCCCACGCAAGUGGGAUCAGGUAAGGGUGAAAGGGUGCGGUAAGAGCGCACCGCGCGGCUGGUAACAGUCCGUGGCACGGUAAACUCCACCCGGAGCAAGGCCAAAUAGGGGUUCAUAAGGUACGGCCCGUACUGAACCCGGGUAGGCUGCUUGAGCCAGUGAGCGAUUGCUGGCCUAGAUGAAUGACUGUCCACGACAGAACCCGGCUUAUCGGUCAGUUUCACUC
RNAcentral lists this RNase P RNA (382 nucleotides) under Pseudescherichia vulneris (CDC Enteric Group 1). RNAcentral describes it as "RNase P RNA component class A". It matches the Rfam family "Bacterial RNase P class A". From Rfam's summary of the family: Ribonuclease P (RNase P) is a ubiquitous endoribonuclease, found in archaea, bacteria and eukarya as well as chloroplasts and mitochondria. Its best characterised activity is the generation of mature 5'-ends of tRNAs by cleaving the 5'-leader elements of precursor-tRNAs. Cellular RNase Ps are ribonucleoproteins. The record is from RNAcentral. Lineage: Bacteria; Pseudomonadati; Pseudomonadota; Gammaproteobacteria; Enterobacterales; Enterobacteriaceae. RNAcentral also lists the same sequence under 2 other names.